This 222-nucleotide long non-coding RNA is filed under the name Elaeis guineensis (African oil palm). RNAcentral describes it as "long non-coding RNA (EGUI_LNC023071)". The record is from RNAcentral. Lineage: Eukaryota; Viridiplantae; Streptophyta; Magnoliopsida; Arecales; Arecaceae.
CCACCGACAAGGCCAAGAAGCCACCAACGGUGGUUUUCUUUAAAUAUUAUUAUGACAUAAUUAUUAUGACAUAAUUAUUAUUAAAUAUUAUUAUAAUAUAAUUAUAAAUAUAAUUAUAAAAAUAAUAUGACAUGAAGUUAAAAAAAAAUAAAAAUCAUACCUACAGCCACGGAGAGUCGCACAGAGCUGCGGGGGUCAUCAACAGCGGUGCUAGAGGAAGGG